This 893-nucleotide ribosomal RNA is filed under the name uncultured Bacillota bacterium. Its description in RNAcentral is "bacterial SSU rRNA". It matches the Rfam family "Bacterial small subunit ribosomal RNA", at positions 1 to 887 of the family's 1533-position model. The record is from RNAcentral. Lineage: Bacteria; Bacillati; Bacillota.
GGAUCCAGACUUUGAUUCUGGCUCAGGAUGAACGCUAGCUACAGGCUUAACACAUGCAAGUCGAGGGGCAGCAUGAACUUAGCUUGCUAAGUUUGAUGGCGACCGGCGCACGGGUGAGUAACACGUAUCCAACCUUCCGUUUACUCAGGGAUAGCCUUUCGAAAGAAAGAUUAAUACCUGAUAGUAUGGUGAGAUUGCAUGAUAGCACCAUUAAAGAUUCAUUGGUAAACGAUGGGGAUGCGUUCCAUUAGGUAGUAGGCGGGGUAACGGCCCACCUAGCCUACGAUGGAUAGGGGUUCUGAGAGGAAGGUCCCCCACAUUGGAACUGAGACACGGUCCAAACUCCUACGGGAGGCAGCAGUGAGGAAUAUUGGUCAAUGGGCGCGAGCCUGAACCAGCCAAGUAGCGUGAAGGAUGAAGGUCCUACGGAUUGUAAACUUCUUUUAUAAGGGAAUAAAGUCGCCUACGUGUAGGCGUUUGUAUGUACCUUAUGAAUAAGCAUCGGCUAACUCCGUGCCAGCAGCCGCGGUAAUACGGAGGAUGCGAGCGUUAUCCGGAUUUAUUGGGUUUAAAGGGAGCGUAGACGGAGGAUUAAGUCAGUUGUGAAAGUUUGCGGCUCAACCGUAAAAUUGCAGUUGAUACUGGUCCCCUUGAGUGCAGUUGAGGCAGGCGGAAUUCGUGGUGUAGCGGUGAAAUGCUUAGAUAUCACGAAGAACCCCGAUUGCGAAGGCAGCCUGCUAAGCUGUAACUGACGUUGAUGCUCGAAAGUGUGGGUAUCAAACAGGAUUAGAUACCCUGGUAGUCCACACGGUAAACGAUGGAUACUCGCUGUUGGCGAUAUACUGUCAGCGGCCAAGCGAAAGCAUUAAGUAUCCCACCUGGGGAGUACGCCG